GGGAAAGUGGCUCAAUGGUAGAGCGCUUGCCUCACAUGCAUGAGGUCCUGGAUUCCAUUCCUC
Non-coding RNA from Dipodomys ordii (Ord's kangaroo rat), 63 nucleotides. The record is from Rfam. Lineage: Eukaryota; Metazoa; Chordata; Mammalia; Rodentia; Heteromyidae.